CCUACGGGUGGCAGCAGUGAGGAAUAUUGGUCAAUGGGCGGAAGCCUGAACCAGCCAAGUAGCGUGCAGGAUGACGGCCCUACGGGUUGUAAACUGCUUUUAUACGGGAAUAACGCGCCUUACGUGUAGGGUUUUGCAUGUACCGUAUGAAUAAGGACCGGCUAAUUCCGUGCCAGCAGCCGCGGUAAUACGGAAGGUCCGGGCGUUAUCCGGAUUUAUUGGGUUUAAAGGGAGCGCAGGCCGCCUUUCAAGCGUGCUGUGAAAUGGCCGGGCUCAACCCGGGCCUUGCAGCGCGAACUGGCGUGCUUGAGUCCGCGGAAGGCAGGCGGAAUUCGUCGUGUAGCGGUGAAAUGCUUAGAUAUGACGAAGAACCCCGAUUGCGAAGGCAGCUUGCUGCAGCGGAACUGACGCUGAUGCUCGAAAGCGCGGGUAUCGAACAGGAUUAGAUACCCCGGUAGUC
Molecule: ribosomal RNA, 460 nt
Filed under: uncultured bacterium
Lineage: Bacteria
Description: partial 16S ribosomal RNA
Rfam family: Bacterial small subunit ribosomal RNA
Source: RNAcentral